CUUGGGAGGGACAUCUGAGGGCUUCUGUUAUACUCAGUGGUUUCUUAAUCUGGUUGAUGAUGACUGGUGCUGGAAGAAGAUGGAAGAAGGCUCUGAAAGUGUUUCUUGAAACUAAGAGGAAGGAGUGGACAGUCUUCACGGUGGAUGGGGUUUGCAAAGUGCACACCAAAGACUCCAGAGAAGACGUUGCCAGUUCAUAUCCCAAAUGUUGUUCUUUUGAAGCCCAUGAGUGAGUGAAAGUAGAAGUUGUCCCAGAAAUCUGCAGGACCACAAGCCACAAAAAGAGGAUCCAUGCACUGCUGGAGAGUAGGGCUGCCAGAUUUAGAAAAUAAAAAU
Molecule: long non-coding RNA, 336 nt
Filed under: Vulpes vulpes (red fox)
Lineage: Eukaryota; Metazoa; Chordata; Mammalia; Carnivora; Canidae
Description: lncRNA (ENSVVUG00000020455.1)
Source: RNAcentral